Molecule: non-coding RNA, 32 nt
Filed under: Mus musculus (house mouse)
Lineage: Eukaryota; Metazoa; Chordata; Mammalia; Rodentia; Muridae
Source: RNAcentral
UAUUAGGAGUUGGUUAGCCAAGACUUGGCAAC